This 491-nucleotide long non-coding RNA is filed under the name Bos taurus (domestic cattle). RNAcentral describes it as "long non-coding RNA NONBTAT020346". Lineage: Eukaryota; Metazoa; Chordata; Mammalia; Artiodactyla; Bovidae. The record is from RNAcentral.
UGGAAAGACUAAAAAUUCUGCUUUUUCACUGCCCAGAUGAAUAUUCAAAAUGAAUAUUACAUUGAAUUUUGCUGUAGUAUUAUGCUUACAUGGCAAAAUAAACGUGGGCUUGUUUGUAAAGACCUGCAAUUCAACACUUUAAACAUGAACAAAUGUUAUAUUUUAUGAUCAAAGCAUUUCCUAAGUUCUGUCCACGAAAGCAGAAAAUCAAAACGUAGAGACUCUAAAGGGAAAUCACUGCUCACCCAGGCUCUUCCACAAGUGGACUUCCUGGCAUCGGCACUGGAGUUUCUUCAUCAUGAGCUGAUUUAAUAUCCUGUAAUAGGUUGAUGUGUUCCAGUCAGAGCCAGUUCUGUAGGUACGGUUACAGCUUGUGUUCCAUUCUUUUUAUUGUUUCCGGAAUUAAUUUUAAUGUCCAUGUGAUAUUGAAAGUUAUUGUAACAGAUAAAAGCCAGUGCUCAGAAAAAUGACACAGAAUAAAAGAAUAAUGU